This 913-nucleotide small RNA is filed under the name Pongo abelii (Sumatran orangutan). Its description in RNAcentral is "retained intron". The record is from RNAcentral. Lineage: Eukaryota; Metazoa; Chordata; Mammalia; Primates; Hominidae.
CCAAGUAAUCAAAUAGUACAGAAUAAAUAGCCAUGGCAUCUUUGACACAUGCUCACCCAUCCUCUGUUUGAACACUACAGUGAUUGGUAGACAGUUUGGUCUGUGGUGAACUUUUUUUUCCUCCUCAGCUUGCGGAAGGAGCUAAUGCUGCUUAUUUGCAGUUGUUGAACCUGUUUGCCUAUGGGACAUACCCAGAUUACAUAGCCAACAAGGAGAGCCUGCCAGAACUGAGCACAGCUCAGCAGAACAAGCUGAAGCAUCUUACCAUCGUGAGCUUGGCAUCAAGAAUGAAGUGUAUCCCCUACUCCGUGUUGCUGAAAGAUCUGGAGAUGCGGAAUCUCCGGGAACUAGAAGACCUCAUCAUUGAGGCUGUCUACACUGACAUCAUCCAGGGCAAGCUGGACCAGCGAAACCAGCUGCUGGAAGUGGAUUUCUGCAUUGGCCGUGACAUCCGAAAGAAGGAUAUCAAUAAUAUUGUCAAGACCCUGCAUGAAUGGUGUGAUGGCUGUGAAGCAGUUCUGCUGGGCAUCGAGCAGCAAGUUCUGAGAGCCAACCAGUACAAAGAGAACCACAACCGAACUCAACAGCAGGUAGAAGCAGAGGUUACCAACAUCAAGAAGACACUCAAAGCCACCGCAUCCUCCUCGGCUCAGGAGAUGGAGCAGCAGCUGGCUGAACGGGAGUGUCCCCCUCACGCUGAGCAGAGGCAGCCCACCAAGAAGAUGUCCAAAGUGAAAGGUCUGGUCUCCAGCCGCCACUAGGGCCGGCUGGGGCAGCUGGCACUCACCAGGCCUGGGUCAGGUGGGGAGGGGACACCAAGGGCCCAUUUCCUCCCCUCUCUACCUGCAGUGAGUUCCAGACCUGCCCGUCCCCUCACCAGCACCUCCCCACCCUGUUGGUACUGUUCCAGAAA